Molecule: ribosomal RNA, 372 nt
Filed under: Klebsiella pneumoniae
Lineage: Bacteria; Pseudomonadati; Pseudomonadota; Gammaproteobacteria; Enterobacterales; Enterobacteriaceae
Description: bacterial LSU rRNA
Rfam family: Bacterial large subunit ribosomal RNA
Source: RNAcentral
GUUGCACUAUCGUUAACUGAAUACAUAGGUUAACGAGGCGAACCGGGGGAACUGAAACAUCUAAGUACCCCGAGGAAAAGAAAUCAACCGAGAUUCCCCCAGUAGCGGCGAGCGAACGGGGAGCAGCCCAGAGUCUGAAUCAGCUUGUGUGUUAGUGGAACGGUCUGGAAAGUCCGACGGUACAGGGUGAUAGUCCCGUACACCAAAAUGCACAGGCUGUGAACUCGAAGAGUAGGGCGGGACACGUGGUAUCCUGUCUGAAUAUGGGGGACCAUCCUCCAAGGCUAAAUACUCCUGACUGACCGAUAGUGAACCAGUACCGUGAGGGAAAGGCGAAAAGAACCCCGGCGAGGGGAGUGAAAAAGAACCUGA